AAUAAGUAUAUAAAGAGAUUAUUACGGAUAUCUGGCUAUAUAUUAAAGAUAGAUAUGAAAAAUUAAUAUCUAAUAUAAAUUUAAUAAUAAACAAAGUGAAUUGAAAUAUCUUAAUAACUUUAGGAAAAGAAAUCAAACGAGAUUUUAUUAUUAGUGUAUACUAAUAUAAAAAAGCUUAUAAGUAAAAUGGAAAAUAUCUGUUUGAAUAAAGGGGAACCUUCCUCUAAAGCUAAAUAUAAUAUAUAAGCGAUAGUGAAUAGUACCGUGAGGUAUAGAUAGAAAUAGUAAUUUUAUAAGCAGCUCAAAAAAAAUUUUAAAUAAAUAAUACGAGCGGACCUUUUGCAUAAUGGGUCAGCAAGUUAAACUUAGAUGCAAGCAAAUAAAAAUUAUUUGCCUAGAUAAACCAAUUAUGAGAAAAUGAUAAGUAUCUAAAUUUAGACCCGAAGGCUAGUGAUCUUACCAUGAUCAGGCUUAAGGCCGAACGGGUUAUCGUUGUAGAGAUAUCCGAUGAAUUGUGGUAAGUUGGUGAAAGACAAAACUGACUAGUAUAGCUGGUUUUCCGCGAAACCUAUGUGAGUAGGUAAUUUAAUUAACAUCUUAGCAGGUACAGAACUAGGAUCUCGGACAAUAUGUAAAUUUUGUACACAUCGGGGGAUCGUGAAGAUUUUAUCGGAGAGUAUUUGCACUCGAAAGGGCAAAGAUGAGUAUUGAAUAAUCGGACAUAGUACGAUAAGGUUGUAUGUCUAAAGGGAAACAGCCCUGAACAAGAGUUAUAAGGUUCCAAAAUUAUUAUUGAGUGAAAUUAAGGAUGUACUUAUCAAAUACAACCAGGAAAUAGGCUUAGAAGCGGCCAUUUUUUGAAGACCUCGUAACAGAGCACUGGUUAAUAAAAUUUCAUUUAGAUAGAUAUGUAUACCGAAAAUUUAACGGAUCUAAAUAAUAUACCGAAACCUUGUUCGUAUAUAUUAAUAUAUAAUAUUAUUUGUUUAAAUAUAUAUAUAUGAGGUAGCGGAACACUGGAUAAAUAUUAGAUUUUGUCUUUUUUAAGACAAAAAAUUAUAUAAGAAUCCAAGAGAGAAUGCUGGCAUGAGUAACGAAAAAGGAUUUAACAUCCUCGCCUUAAGCUUAUGGUAUUUUAUUUAAAUUUCGGUAUCUAAGUAGGAAGUAAAAUAAGUAAAAUGGUAAAUUGUUUGAAAAAAAACUUCUCCAAAUGGAUUCAAAUACGAUGAUAUAAAUAGAUUAGAGAAAAAACUUUUAUAAAGUGUUAAAGGUUCUGGAAAUUAAAUUUAAUCAAAUAAGCAAUUUUAAUUGCUCGGCGAAAUCCGAAACUAUCUAGACCGUACCUAAAUACUAACACAAGUAAGCAAGUAGAGUAUACAAAGGCGUUUGAGUGAAUAAUCAUUAAGGAACUCGGCAAAUUGACUCCGUAACUUCGGGAUAAGGAGGGCCGUUAUUACAGAAAAAUAUUUCUGUUAAAUAAGAGGAAACAUGAAAUAAUGUUGUACGACUGUUUAAUUAAAACAAAUCACUCUGCAAAGAUUAAAAAUCAAAGUAUUGAGUGUGAUGUCUGCCCAAUGUCGGUUGUAUAACUGAGAUACUUAAUUUAAAAGGUUAGGUUUUGAAGGACACUCCGAUCAAUGGCGGCCUUAUCUAUAAGGGUCCUAAGGUAGCGGAAUACCCUGGCCGUUAAAUGCGGUCUUGCAUGAAUGACUUAACGAUACAACAGCUGUCUCGAUGAUUAGCUCAGUGAAAUUGGAAUAGCGGUGCAGAUACCGCUUAACUCUAGGUAGACGAGAGUGCGACUAGUAAAGUGUUUAAUAA
The sequence is a ribosomal RNA, 1821 nucleotides long. It matches the Rfam family "Bacterial large subunit ribosomal RNA". The record is from Rfam.